AGCGUCCCCCCUCGGCGGCUU
This 21-nucleotide unclassified non-coding RNA is filed under the name Mus musculus (house mouse). RNAcentral describes it as "oocyte_clustered_small_RNA9151". Lineage: Eukaryota; Metazoa; Chordata; Mammalia; Rodentia; Muridae. The record is from RNAcentral.